AUAUGGGCUGUAUGACCAUCAUGUGAUGACAAAGCUCUAUACUGUAAUUGUAUUUUCAAUUCAAUAACGCUAAACCGUAAAUGUAAUAACCUACUAAUACCUGGUAUAUGUUAAUCAUCAAUUAGAGAGUCUAUUUGUUUAACAUAGAAGGUGAACGUCAUUUGCAUUUUUUACUGCUCUAGAAUAUGUAGUACUUCUAAGUUGUAGAUUAACAUUAUUAUUUUUUUUUUUUUUUGUAAACUGAUACUGGUAAUAGGCGUGCCACAGUUAGAGGAGUGAUAUUAGAAAUUUAGGAAACAUACAUUUAUUUAAUUUGUAUCAGUAUACAACGAUAAACCAUAGUUAAUGAAAAAUGAAUCUGAGAGAAGUUCUGUAAUACAAUAAUAAAUGUUUCUUAAAUGUCGUAAUUAUUACGAUUUUCGUUAAAAUUAUACUUAUGAAAAAGACUGCUACACCGGUACAUUACGCUCAAUAGCUAAACGUAUUUCUUUUUUUUACCACUAAGUACAACUUAUAAUGAACCUUGUGUUAAAUUUUAAUGUUAAAAAGUAUUUCUGUUAAGCCAAACAAUUGCAUCCACAUAAAAUCAAAUAAAAUCUAAAUAAAAAAUAAAAAUGUCAAAUGAUUAUAAAUAACUUAAAAAUCGUC
This is a non-coding RNA of Cinara cedri, 648 nucleotides long. NCBI's taxonomy places the organism in Eukaryota, Metazoa, Arthropoda, Insecta, Hemiptera, Aphididae. The record is from the annotation of a GenBank genome assembly.